AUUACUUCACGUUGGUUGGGCAGUGUCAGAGACUCAAAAUGAGGGUUUUUUUAUUUCCAGAAAAUGAAGCUAAUUCUAGAACUGUCAUAGAAAAAAAGAACCCUGUUCACUGAUGUUUCAAGUUGGAAUUCAUUAGCAGAAUGGAGUGCAUGAGAGUACAGUGGCUGGAAUGUUUGCUUUCAGAUCCUCACAGCCAGGUGUCAAGAGGACACCUAGUAGCUCAAGAUGGAGACAGGGACAAAAUGGGUGACCUCACUGAUCAUUGGCUGCUUUUCAGUGACUCGGCUGUGGUGAAGCUGACUUGCAACCACACAAGUGUUGGCCACGCCGGAUGGAGGGACGAGCUCAGAAAGCGGUACUUCUGUGACAUCACAAACCCGGGCUGCCUUCCCCUGCUCUUCCUGUGGCUGGCGUUGUCAUGAAGCAAAUGCACUCAGAGCGACUGGCCUGCGUGCUGCAGGGCUCCAGGCCCGUGCUGCUGUCCCUGGUCCACGGAGUCCGCGCAGAGCCGGUGCUGUGAGGUUAUGGGAGACUGGGAUACAAGUUAUUGCAUGUGUAUACGAAGUUCUUCAGACAUUCGGAAUCAGGGUCCAAAACCACACUGCAGAGACCAGCCUGAAGAAGAAAACUCCGGAGUCCUAAACCACCUCCUGAAAACAUUUGUUCUCCGCUGUGGAUACAAUGGACUUCCAGAAUGUGAACUGAGCCCCUGCUAGGAUGGUGCAGGGCCUGGGCUCACCUGCUCUGCGAAGUCAGGAGAGCAGAGACAUCAGUGAUCCAGUGACUUCAGGAACGGGAGCAGCUUCAAAGUCCAUGUGCCCUCCUGAUGCCCAAAUAAAUAAUAAUCCUGCAAAGCAUCACAGAAUCAAAUGAAGAGUAAAAUAAGAACGAAGCCCACUCCGGUGCACCACCUUCGUGAGGCCUUCUACCUAGAAUCCCACAUGCUUGGUUCUCAUUAAGGGUCCUUUUGUGCCCAUCACAGGGCUGCAGAGACGCCUGAGGUGUGUGGGUAUCUAGGGGAGCUGUUCUACUUCACCACGGUAAUCAUCUGACCUUGCCACACAGCAGCAGAUUCAGACUGUUGGAUUCCCAACAGCGCUGCCACGGGCCCAUCCCGACUUUGUUCUGCCCACUUAACAAUCACAGCAAACUAGAGAACUGCUUGUAAUUUCACACCAUGCUAAAGCUCCCUAGAAAUAGUCUCAGAAGUGACUUCAUGAGACCCUCAAUGAACAACGGCUCAGUGCUUUCAAAUGUCUUGCUCUGAGCCGCUAUCUUUCAUCCCCGUGUGUGUGCACCUAAUCUCAGCUGCUCUGCCCGAGACCCCUGCCCCAUAACCGCUCCCACAAGAUGAAAGAAACCGUCAGGAACUAGGAAAAAUGUGCCAAACUGCAGGCACAGGUGCGCACUGGUGGGGAAGGGACUGCUCGCAGGAAGAAGGUGGUUCACAGAACAGCUACAGCAGAUGAUAAAAAACUUCAGUUCUCAUUAAAGAAGUUAGGGGUAAACUAUCUCUGGUACUGAAGAGAUGAAUAUGUUUACAAACCAAGGAACAGUGAUCCACUUCCACACCCCAAAAGUUCAGGCAUCUCUGGCAGCAAACACUUUCACCAUUGCAGGCCAUGCUGAGACGAAACAGCUGACAGAUGCUGCCCAGCAUCUCGGACCAGCUCAGUGCAGACAGUCUGACCGGCUUAAGGAGACUGGCUGAGGCUCUGCCCAAACAAUCCAUGGGUGGAAAAGCACCACCUGCUGCUGGAGAGGGAGGAUGAGGAAGUUCCAGAUCUUGUGGAGAAUUUUGAUGAGGCUUCUAAGAAUGAGGCGAUCAGCAUUGAGUCAGCUUCUGAAGAUAAAACUCGAAGAAGUUACUGGGAGCUGCUAUCUUAUAUUAUGACUGCUUUUUAAAGUUGGUUUUGUUUAUGGACUUUAUAAAAUCUAGAUCUCUCAUAUUCUUAAGCCCAAGCCUCUUGGACAUUGCAGCUCUUUGCAGUAUUUGCUUUUAUACAGUUCAUUCUUUGCAGCCAAUUAAUGAAGAAG
This 2037-nucleotide long non-coding RNA is filed under the name Heterocephalus glaber (naked mole-rat). RNAcentral describes it as "lncRNA (ENSHGLG00100050855.1)". The record is from RNAcentral. Lineage: Eukaryota; Metazoa; Chordata; Mammalia; Rodentia; Bathyergidae.